GGUGAAUAUAGUAUAAGGAUCGUGCCCAGUAGCGGGGGAUAACUAUACGAAAGCGUGGAUAAUACCGCAUACGCCCUACGGGGGAAAGCGGGGGACCUUCGGGCCUCGCACUAUUGGAGCGGCCGAUAUCGGAUUAGCUAGUUGGUGGGGUAACGGCCUACCAAGGCGACGAUCCGUAGCUGGUUUGAGAGGACGACCAGCCACACUGGGACUGAGACACGGCCCAGACUCCUACGGGAGGCAGCAGUGGGGAAUUUUGGACAAUGGGGGCAACCCUGAUCCAGCCAUCCCGCGUGUGCGAUGAAGGCCUUCGGGUUGUAAAGCACUUUUGGCAGGAAAGAAACGGCACGGGCUAAUAUCCUGUGCAACUGACGGUACCUGCAGAAUAAGCACCGGGCUAACUACGUGCCAGCAGCCGCGGUAAUACGUAGGGUGCAAGCGUUAAUCGGAAUUACUGGGCGUAAAGCGUGCGCAGGCGGUUCGGAAAGAAAGAUGUGAAAUCCCAGGGCUUAACCUUGGAACUGCAUUUUUACUACCGGG
Molecule: ribosomal RNA, 540 nt
Filed under: Bordetella bronchiseptica
Lineage: Bacteria; Pseudomonadati; Pseudomonadota; Betaproteobacteria; Burkholderiales; Alcaligenaceae
Description: bacterial SSU rRNA
Rfam family: Bacterial small subunit ribosomal RNA
Source: RNAcentral